This 253-nucleotide ribosomal RNA is filed under the name uncultured bacterium. Its description in RNAcentral is "partial 16S ribosomal RNA". It matches the Rfam family "Bacterial small subunit ribosomal RNA", at positions 524 to 776 of the family's 1533-position model. The record is from RNAcentral.
UACAGAGGUGGCAAGCGUUGUUCGGAUUUAUUGGGCGUAAAGGGUCCGUAGGCGGUUUGGAAAGUCAGAUGUGAAAGCCCACAGCUCAACUGUGGAACUGCAUUUGAAACUUCCAGACUAGAGUGUGAGAGGGGUAAAAGGAAUUCCCGGUGUAAGGGUGAAAUCUGCAGAGAUCGGGAGGAACACCAGUCGCGAAGGCGUUUUACUGGCUCACAACUGACGCUCAGGGACGAAAGCUAGGGUAGCAAACGGG